CCCAGCCUGACCACCCAGUGGGAGGAGGACCCGGGGACAGAAUGCAGUUGAUUUCAGCCAACACCUCUCAAACCUCACUUUUCCACGACUCUUCAGCCAUUUUACAAAAUAUCUGGCACGUACUUUUCAAAAAUGCUAAGAUGGCAAAAUACCAAGACUCGAGAACUGUUGCCAGUUAAAGGAGCUAAAGAGACGCGGCAACCGAAUGCAAAGUCAUGGAGUGCCAAGCAGUGCCAUGUCCACACCCGGGAUCCGAACCGGCGAACCCCGGGCUGCCGAGAAGCGGAACGUGCGCACUUAACCGCUGCACCACCGGGCCGGCCCCUCUUCCCCAUCUUUCUUGUGGUACAUUUCAUUUUUGAAAAUUAACUUUUUAUUUUAGAAUAGUUUAGAUUUAUAGAAAAAUUACAUAGAUCAUACAGACUUCUCCUACACCCCACACUGUGUCCCCUGUUAUUAACACCUUACAUUAGCGUGGCAAAUUUAUCGCAAUUAAUGAGCCGAUAUUGAUAUAUUACUGUUAGCAGAAGUCCAUAUGCUAUUCAGAUCUCU
This 552-nucleotide long non-coding RNA is filed under the name Equus asinus (donkey). Its description in RNAcentral is "lncRNA (ENSEASG00005027875.1)". The record is from RNAcentral. Lineage: Eukaryota; Metazoa; Chordata; Mammalia; Perissodactyla; Equidae.